AGGAAAAGGGAAGGGAAAGGAGAAAAAAAGGAGGAAGGAGAAGAAAAGAUAGGAGGGGCCGAGCGGGAAAAAAAGGGGAGCCAAAGAGCGACCGCCAUGAGAGAGGAAGAAAAGAAGAGAGGGGCGGAGGCAGGAGAGUGUGGAAGCUGAAACAAAAGGAAGAAGGAGGAAGAGGAAACGAUCGAGAUGCCAUAUGAAGGGGGAGACCGAGGCAAGCGAGGUAAAGUUCGUCCUUUUCAUCUUUUCUUCCCCUAUUUUCAUUCAAUCUAUUUCUACUUUGCAGUAAUCAAUUUUUUAGGCAUAAAAAUCACCAUUCUAAUUGCAAGCAUGCAAGGGAGCUGUGGGUGACUGAGAGGAAGCGAUCGGGAGCAAAGCCGGGGCCAAAUCGCCCACGUCGAAAGGUAAAAUCGUUCUAUUUUAAUGUUUUGAUUGGGGUUGAGUGGCAGCGGGGAGGGACUGGUGUCGGUCGAACCUCGCUGGCUCGGCCAGGCCACCAACCCACACAGGAAUCGAGGAGGCUUCUUCGAGAAUGGGGAUAGCUGACCCAUUCGGGAAGCCAAAGGGUCUUCCCCGAACAUGGAAAUCCGAUCCACCAUUUUGGGUUCUGAUUUUUCAUCUAGGAAGCUGAAAAAGUCUUCCUCGAGAAAUGAGAAUUUAGUUUUCCUGGGAAGCUAAAAAUUCUUUCUCAAAAAAUGGGAAUCCAAUUCGCUGAAUGUGGAUCUAAAAGGUUUUUUGGGUGCGAAUCCUAAUAGAUUCAGGUA
This 761-nucleotide long non-coding RNA is filed under the name Carica papaya (papaya). RNAcentral's name for it is "long non-coding RNA (CPAP_LNC000852)". Lineage: Eukaryota; Viridiplantae; Streptophyta; Magnoliopsida; Brassicales; Caricaceae. The record is from RNAcentral.